RNAcentral lists this ribosomal RNA (492 nucleotides) under uncultured bacterium. RNAcentral describes it as "partial 16S ribosomal RNA". It matches the Rfam family "Bacterial small subunit ribosomal RNA", at positions 29 to 507 of the family's 1533-position model. The record is from RNAcentral.
AGUGAACGCUGGCGGUAGGCCUAACACAUGCAAGUCGAACGGCAGCACAGUAAGAGCUUGCUCUUACGGGUGGCGAGUGGCGGACGGGUGAGGAAUACAUCGGAAUCUACUUUUUCGUGGGGGAUAACGUAGGGAAACUUACGCUAAUACCGCAUACGACCUACGGGUGAAAGCAGGGGAUCUUCGGACCUUGCGCGAUUGAAUGAGCCGAUGUCGGAUUAGCUAGUUGGCGGGGUAAAGGCCCACCAAGGCGACGAUCCGUAGCUGGUCUGAGAGGAUGAUCAGCCAACCUGGAACUGAGACACGGUCCAGACUCCUACGGGAGGCAGCAGUGGGGAAUAUUGGACAAUGGGCGCAAGCCUGAUCCAGCCAUACCGCGUGGGUGAAGAAGGCCUUCGGGUUGUAAAGCCCUUUUGUUGGGAAAGAAAAGCAGCAGGUUAAUACCCCGCUGUUCUGACGGUACCCAAAGAAUAAGCACCGGCUAACUUCGUG